GGAGGUGUCCGGUUCCCUGGUGGGGCCCCCGGUCUUCAACACCGGCGAGGGCGGGCUCGGUCCGCCCUGGCGGGUUCGAUUCCCGUCCACCUCCG
Molecule: transfer RNA, 95 nt
Filed under: Profundirhabdus halotolerans
Lineage: Bacteria; Bacillati; Actinomycetota; Nitriliruptoria; Nitriliruptorales; Nitriliruptoraceae
Description: tRNA-Sec
Rfam family: Selenocysteine transfer RNA
Source: RNAcentral